UACGGGGGGGGUAAGCGUUGUUCGGAAUUACUGGGCGUAAAGGGCUCGUAGGCGGCCAACUAAGUCGGACGUGAAAUCCCUCAGCUUAACUGGGGAACUGCGUCCGAUACUGGAUGGCUUGGAUUUGGGAGAGGGAUGCGGAAUUCCAGGUGUAGCGGUGAAAUGCGUAGAUAUCAGGAGGAACACCGGUGGCGAAGGCGGCUUGCUGGGCCUUACCUGACGCUGAGGAGCGAAAGCGUGGGGAGCGAACAGG
This 253-nucleotide ribosomal RNA is filed under the name uncultured bacterium. RNAcentral describes it as "partial 16S ribosomal RNA". It matches the Rfam family "Bacterial small subunit ribosomal RNA", at positions 524 to 776 of the family's 1533-position model. The record is from RNAcentral.